This 207-nucleotide ribosomal RNA is filed under the name uncultured bacterium. Its description in RNAcentral is "partial 16S ribosomal RNA". It matches the Rfam family "Bacterial small subunit ribosomal RNA", at positions 524 to 729 of the family's 1533-position model. The record is from RNAcentral.
UACGAAGGGGGCUAGCGUUGCUCGGAAUGACUGGGCGUAAAGGGCGCGUAGGCGGAUGGCUUUGUCGGGCGUGAAAUUCCAGGGCUUAACCUUGGGGCUGCGUUCGAGACGGGUUGUCUUGAGUGGGGAAGAGGGUCGUGGAAUUCCCAGUGUAGAGGUGAAAUUCGUAGAUAUUGGGAAGAAACACCGGUGGCGAAGGCGGCGACC